AUAUGGUACAUUCAGGUCUAU
Molecule: non-coding RNA, 21 nt
Filed under: Arabidopsis thaliana (thale cress)
Lineage: Eukaryota; Viridiplantae; Streptophyta; Magnoliopsida; Brassicales; Brassicaceae
Source: RNAcentral